Molecule: unclassified non-coding RNA, 295 nt
Filed under: Trechispora invisitata
Lineage: Eukaryota; Fungi; Basidiomycota; Agaricomycetes; Trechisporales; Hydnodontaceae
Description: partial contains 5.8S ribosomal RNA, internal transcribed spacer 2, and large subunit ribosomal RNA
Source: RNAcentral
CGCACCUUGCGCUCCUUGGUAUUCCGAGGAGCAUGCCUGUUUGAGUGUCUUGAAGUCAUCAACCCCUCCCGUUUCGUGCGGUGGAGGGUUGGAGCUGGGGGACAUGCCGCCGCGAGGCGGCUCCCCUCAAAUGCUUCGGUUGGGCCUGUGGGUCGAACUCGACUGGGCGUUGUACCAUCCUCGCUCGACAGAGACGUUCCCCUCUUGUGCCUGGCCUCGACCUGCCUCUAGAGCGGCGGUCAAAGCAACUUUGAAAUCUGACCUCAAAUCAGGUAGGACUACCCGCUGAACUUAA